Molecule: long non-coding RNA, 910 nt
Organism: Odontomachus brunneus
Lineage: Eukaryota; Metazoa; Arthropoda; Insecta; Hymenoptera; Formicidae
Exons: 4
Source: RefSeq, a predicted model, not a curated record
ACCCGUCACGAAAACCGAGACGGCACGCAGUUCUUCCGAGACACUCCGCUGACAAGAGCUAGACUUCGACAGCAGAAGCCUCUCGAACACGUCAACCGCUGCGAACCCGCCACAUCCUAGAUACCGCUCCGUCGACUCGUGGAUACGUGUAGUCGACAUCUUCCUAACCGUUCCAUCCACUCGGGGAUUCGUGCAAUCCUCCAUCGGUUCAGACACGACUAGAAUUAAGCAGUCUUAUACACCGAAUCUCGUAUGAUUCGGUGUUGUUUUUGCGGUUGAUCGGCGCUAUGUUUACAUUUUUCUCGUGACUCUUACGCCUUUGGCAUAUAACAUCACGCUUACGGUCGCACUUUGCCUUCAAGUAAACCGGUAGUUCGCACACAUGCCUGUCUAACAAAAGACAACCGUGAGAUCCUCUGUUGUCGUCCCUCCAUAAAUUAUUGUUUGAAAUACUGCUGCUAGACGGCAACCACUUCCACGUGUAGUCGCUCGCGUAACCGCCAAUCCAUGCAUUCUCAAUCGUUUCUGAAAUUAGCCGGUAUUACGACCUCCAGAUACACAAGUUUUUUAACGUAAAUAUCAAUCGACAAGACGUCUAAUAUUGCAAAUCAAAGCGGCCACGUCGUAGACACAACUAUUCGGAAAAUUUUGCUAAAUUUUCCAAAAAUCACGCAUUGUCUCGUUUCAUGAAAUACCAGGUCGAGUUUGUAUCAUGAGAAACGCCAAGGACUGAGCCUCUGCCGUUGUCUUGACUUCAGCAAUCUGCAAGCCUUCCUUGCGACAGUUGAUCACGGCUUCCGACCAGCUAAAUGUUGCAAAAGUAAUUGAACCAUUUUGGUCAAACCAAAUUGGUAUCGUUUAUGGUUCAUAUUAAAAAAAAAAAUAAAAGAAAUUAUCGUUACCUCUUUGA